This 438-nucleotide ribosomal RNA is filed under the name uncultured bacterium. RNAcentral's name for it is "bacterial SSU rRNA". It matches the Rfam family "Bacterial small subunit ribosomal RNA", at positions 28 to 466 of the family's 1533-position model. The record is from RNAcentral.
GACGAACGCUGGCGGCGUGCCUAACACAUGCAAGUCAACUUGACUGAAGGAGCAAUCUGACAGUAGAGUGGCGCAAGGGUGCGUAACGCGUAAGUAACUUGCCCCAAGGUAAGGAAUAACGUCGAGAAAUCGGCGCUAAUACCUCAUAAUGCAGCGGAUCCGCAUGGAUAUGUUGUUAAAGGUUUACCGCCUUGGGAUAGGCUUGCGUCUGAUUAGCUAGUUGGUGUGGUAACGGCACACCAAGGCUACGAUCAGUAACUGGUCUGAGAGGAUGAUCAGUCACACUGGAACUGAGACACGGUCCAGACUCCUACGGGAGGCAGCAGUGAGGAAUAUUGGGGCAAUGCUCGAAGAGUGACCCAGCAACGCCGCGUGGAGGAUGAAGGUAUUCUAUAUCGUAAACUCCUGUGAGAGCAGACGAAAGACAGAUUAUAAUCU